This 379-nucleotide ribosomal RNA is filed under the name uncultured bacterium. RNAcentral's name for it is "bacterial SSU rRNA". It matches the Rfam family "Bacterial small subunit ribosomal RNA", at positions 29 to 400 of the family's 1533-position model. The record is from RNAcentral.
AACGAACGCUGGCGGCGCGCCUAAUACAUGCAAGUCGAGCGAGAAGGUGUAGCAAUACACUUGUAAAGCGGCGAACGGGUGAGGAAUACAUGGGUAACCUACCAUCGAGUGGGGAAUAACCAGCCGAAAGGUUGGCUAAUACCGCGUACGCCUCCGAAUUCUCGGAUUCGGAGGGAAAGCCACACUAUGAGUGUGGCGCUCUUUGAUGGGCUCAUGUCCUAUCAGCUUGUUGGUAGGUAACGGCCUACCAAGGCUUUGACGGGUAGCUGGUCUGAGAGGACGAUCAGCCACACUGGCACUGCGACACGGGCCAGACUCCUACGGGAGCAGCAGUAAGGAAUAUUGCGCAAUGGACGAAAGUCUGACGCAGCGACGCCGC